Molecule: long non-coding RNA, 5861 nt
Filed under: Gallus gallus (chicken)
Lineage: Eukaryota; Metazoa; Chordata; Aves; Galliformes; Phasianidae
Source: RNAcentral
GCCUUGUGCACUACUGUUUCGCAUUUCCUCUAUGGAAAGCUAACAGCUGAAGGAUUUGGUCAAACCAAGCAACCAGAGGACCAGAGAAAGUUUGAAAGAGGAUGGCAUAACCAAUCAAGAAAAAAAAGUUACAGCAAAAAAAGUUCUCUUCAUUUUAUUCUUACCUUCUGCUUUGUGAAGAUCUCUGCAGCUACCAGAUAACCUGAACUAUACAGCAUCUCUGCUGUUAAGUGUAUAAUAUUUAAGACCUAUAGUUCCUGUUGUCAUUUUCAGUUGAAAAGUAACCAAAGCAAAGCUGUUUUACUAUCCCACUAGCCUGGUUUUGAAGGAAGCAGGCACUUUAUCAUGCAGUUUUGAAUAUUGGGUUGUGGUGAGAAAAACAAAUACCAGCAUACAGUUGAAAUAAAGGAACAGGCUUUUAUAUCAAUAAAAGCAGAAGGAUGAGUUCCUGCUAAUCAUGUUUACUGCUUGUGUACUAAUUAUUUGUAUAAAUGAAUUUUGUGGAAGGCAUCGGGAAUAUUGGAAAUUCAGACUCAGAUUUCCAACCUUCUUUUUCUUUCCCAUCACUUGCAGCAUAAUUCAUAUGGCUGUUACAUUUAAUUGCUUGGGGGUGGCAAUUCAGACACACUCAGGGCAAUAAGAAAAAGCCCUAUCAGUACAUCUUAUCAGAAGUGUUACUUUGGUAGAACAAUGCACAUUGCUGAUGCUUUCCUCCGGUUUACUUACCUAAUGAUUUUCUUGUUUGCCUAAUUACUGUUGUUAUGACAGAAAUUUUGUGGUUUAUAAAGGAGUCAGAAAACCUAAGGUGUGAUUUGAUGUCUGGUUACUGCACAGCAAACUCUUAAAAGAGUUUAACUUCAUUUUUAGCUCAAAAACCCUUUUAUGUCAGAGAAAGGUGUUUUUACUUUUGAUAUGGGAUAUGACUGCUGUUGGGUGGAAUAUGCUCUGGAGAUACCACAGCGGAAAAGAUCUUAGUACAUAAAAUGGGUGCAAAUUUCUGAAUGCAGUCAUAUUCACUCCCUUUAAAUCUGAAGUGAAUAACCAAGACUGAUUUUUCUGCUAGGAAUUAGACAUAAACAACUCGGAUGUGAGUAGUCAUUUGAUGUAAUUGUCAUCUGAUUACUGGGUUUCAACGGUUUUUUGUCAUUUUCUCCCAGUGGUUCAAAAUGAAGAUACUUCAUUUUUUAUUUUGCAUUUUUUAUUAAACAAAACCAGUUUGUUAAUUAUCGCUACACUUAGAAAAAACAAACUUCUGAAAAUGCCAGCAUUAAGAUUUCCUUUGCCUACCUUUACUGACCUAUAUGCAGAUACUCAUAGACUUUUCUUUAUUUAUUUUUUUCACAGCCCAACUUUUAUUAGUGUCAGUUGAAACUGGGAAUAUCCCAUCUUUUUGCAAAUCAAAACUUGGCUGUCAGAAGAUACACAGCCAACAACAGGGAAUGUCUUUCCUCUCAAAAGUCUAGUUUAAGUGACUUGCUUUGAAUCAUAAGAUUUAAUUUUUAGCUCCCAUCAUUCCCUAGUUGGCCAGUUACCCAAUCAUAAAGUUAUCUGAGGCCUGUUGAGAGGAUGAUGUGAAGACAAUGGAUGCUGACCUUCCUCUUGGGAUAGCAUCUGCACCAAGACCUGACAGAAGAGAACAGCUCUGGAGGGCCAGACCCCUGGACCGCACCAAGGGAGACAUUGAACAGCACCAGGACCCCAACCUCCCACAGACAAGGACUGCCAGAGCCCCUCCAAGGGCAACACUUCUUACUUCUUCCUCCAUCAAUUCCAUUCCUUCAGGACAGCACCUGCCACACACCUUCAGGGCUGAAAAUAAGCCUCACAUCCAAGGACCCAGGCCUGCCACACACCAUCACCCCCAAACACAAGGGGCUUUUGUCCCCUGGCACCCACUCCAUAAACUCCAUCGCAGGAGUAGCACACACAGCUCAGGGACCAAAGGACACUCACCUCGCUCCACAGAGGCACCAGAGUCGCUUUAGCCCUGAAGCCACAGGAAGCAUUCCAGGAACUGAUUCCAAGGGGCUGCCAGGGUGGGCAGCCCUCGGGUUGGAGGAUGGUCACUCCUGGGCCCCCAUCACUCACCUCCUUCAUCCCACUGAAGAUGUAAUCCUUGCUGCAGCCCUCACCCUGCAACAAGACGAGAAUUACCAAGCAGUGGGGAUUGGAGAGGCCCCUCUAGACAUCAUCCCUUCCCACUCUCUAGCUAAAGCAGCUUGUUUCAGAUUUUUACAUCUCAUUUAAAGUUGUCAGUGCUGCAAGAGUUCUACUCCUUUCUAAAACAUUUUUUUAAUCCUGAGAAGUGUUAGGCUGAUAGCAAGAAAAGUUCAUGCCUUCUCUGCAUAAGCAGCUGUCUGGCAUAUGAAUAGACUAUUUAUAUAGGUAUGUCACGUACAUUCCAUCAUACCUAUAUAUGACAUUGGCUAUCGGUUAUUAUAAGAGUAGAAACAAAUAUGUUUACUCUCUUUAUUUGGGGUGUACUGGAAUGUACAUUCUACUGUUUGUUACACUGGAAUAGGCUUUGCCGGCUUCUCUGCUUCCGUGCUUUCCUGGAAUCUCUUGUUCAGCUGCAUUGACUGUUCAGCUUUUCAGAAAAUGGAAUGCUUUGGGUUAGGAUUUGAGUUCAAGGAACUGAGCCUUUACACAGGCUUGAAAUAAGAAAUAACCAUAACCUGGUGAAAGACGUGUUUUGUUAAAAUCUCACUAAAGAUUUUAGAAACUGUGUAGGAAGAAGAAGAGAGUAGGUGCUGGUUGAGGCUAGGAAAAGAGUAGAUGCAGCCACGUUUGUUUCUCAUCUUAGGGGCAGCAGGGCUAGCCCCUCACACCUCCAUAAACACAAGUGGAAUCUUCAGAGUUACUGUUUUCCUUUUAGUUUAAUGGUGGCCAUAACAGCCAUAUGCCAUCACCAGAUCAUGCUGCACUUGAGAAAUGGUGAGUCUUUGUGGAGAAGGAUUGGUACGCACUAAAAAGCAUCAGACUCCACUUUAUCCAGCAAUAGCUUCUUGCAGUCACAAUGGAGAAAACAAAAUUAAGGUAUAAUAGAAUAAUGCUUUUUUAAAGUUGAGUCUCAUAUUCAAAAUUGAUCUUGAAUGAUAUAAAGGAUUCUUGAUCACACCCCAACAACCUACAUUAUUAAAAAGCAAAACCUUUUAAGUUGAAAAUAUUUUCUAAAUGUCAUCUUUAGCAAAGGUGACUGAAAGAACCAGGCUUUUUCGUCACUUGGAAAUAACAGAUGAAGUGUAUACUGUCUCCUAAAAUAAGAUUUUAAUAACAUACUGGUAACAGGAAAAAAAUUGGUACAUUGAUCAUGGAGUUCCCAGGAUGUCUAAGUGUUCUGGGAUCUCUGCUGCCCGCUGCUGUACUUGUUCCCUUAAAGUGUAUCUGACUAUUAAAAAGAAAUAACGAAACAAAACAAAAACAACAUACAAAAAACAUCAAAACCAAAACACCAGGGUUUGCUAUAUAAGUAAUGACAGAUAUAACACCUCUGUUUAUUUUUAAACAGCUACUAAUUUAAAUAAUUUACUGCAUUUUUAUCCAUCAGAUGAUCUUUUUACCAUGAAGUAUAUGACCAGCACUGUCAUUCAUUGAAGUUCAGAGAAUUCAGAAGUAAUGACUGAUAUUCAAACGCUGUGUAGUUAUUGUAGAAAGGUUGUAUUAGUCUGAAGCUCCCUAGUCGUGUAAUUUUCUUGUUAAGCAUUAAUGACCCAUUGAGAUAGCUUAUGAUGAUGCCUCCAUUUCAUGAAAUGCUUGUUCUCAUGUGAAUAUAUUUGUUUAGCUGAUUGUUGUGAUUAUUCAUUGAUUCCACAAUUACUUUUUUUUUAUGUUUAUUCAGUGCUAGAUGUAUUUUGACAUGAUCAAACGUAUGAGAAAAUUAUUGCUUGACUGUAUGCGUGUAAAUGUACCAAAGCUGUGUGACCUUCAUCCUAGCACUAAAUGUUGUGAAGCUUUCAGUGUUGAUACAUUUUACAAAUGAUUCCAUCCAAAUUAGAUAGCCGUUAGGUACUUAUCAGCAAAGAGAAAGGAAAGAAGAGUUGUUUUCCUGCGUGAUCUCAGUGAUACAACCCAGUUUUCCUGAGUGAUAAAGUCAGGAAAUUUUUUUUAAUAGAGCAUUGGCUUUCCUAAGCCCUCACAUAACAUUGAAAGUAUAUUUAUAUUGCCAAUAGAUGGCAGCAUCGCUCUUCAGCAGAGUUCUGUAAGCUAUUUAAUGAUUAAUGUUGAUGUAAAUUACUUCAGCAGAAAAUUGUUGUCUCAGUAAAUGUUGUUCUGCUACAUUUUUUCCAAGUUCUUUACCUAUUUUUGCUAUAAAAUAGUGGUAUAUAAUAGUGUAUAGAGUGGCUACACUCUACACUCUACAAUAGGUUGUAGUGUAGCACAUCUUUGCUUGGAAAAGACCUGCUUCUCAAAAAAAGUGUUCUACCUUCUGGCAUAGUUCUCUAUGCAUUAAUUUCCAUCAUACAUAUAAUCUCUGUUUUCUGUCUGAGCCUGGAUUUAGUUUUCUUAGUGUUUUCAGUUUCAGAAGGGGCAUGUUCCCCAUCUCCUACUAUCUGAAUUAUAUUGAUACGCAGAGUAGAGCCUAGUAGAUGAUUAGUCCUGACCUCACCAGUCCUAGGCUCUCCUUUUUUUGUUGUCAUCCUAAUUAUUCAUUUGCAAUACCUAUGUUGUUGGUUGGGCUGGGUUUUUUGUUUGUUUGUUGUUUGUUUUUUAUAUUUGUUUUAAUUACUGUUAAUUGAGGUAUUUGAGUACUUUUGUAUGACUGGCUAUUAUAGGUGAAAACAUAUUGCCUGCUUGUAAGCUUACUGUGAAGGCUGAUACAUGGAGUGGAAAACAUGAUAGAUAAUCUUCUCUGUCAGCCUUAGAGCAUCUGUAUUUGUCAGCCUUUCCAUUCAGGAAGGAGAGGCCUGCAUACUCUGUCACUUUCCUGUUGCCUUUGAUCAGAAAUUUAUCUUGACUCCUGACAGCAAGGAAAUCUUUCUUGUUGCAAGUUUUGUUGAAAGCAGUGUUGAAAGCAGAAAUGGUCAACUUGAUUGACUUCUUGAGGUUCAGCAGAUUACAGGUUUUGUUCCUUUGUUAAUAUUAUUUAUUAAAAUAUUAAAUUUUCAUAUUAAGGUAUUCAUAUGUAUUCUGGAGUAACUGUGGGAAGCUCUAGAGCCAGUGUCCAUAUCGUGUUUUAUACUUCUGCUGUAGAAGACUCAUAAUUUAUCCAUUAAUAUAAUUGAUAUUUCUGAAAGAAUUAAACCAGUAGGAAGGUGAACUUUUCAAAUUUCACUUGCCAUUAUGGUAUCGGUGUAUCGGUGUAUUUGUCUAUCAGUUUAUAUGGUCAUCUGUUGUUUCUUUUCUUCCAUCCUAAGGGGCAAGCGUGCAGUAUCAUUUUAGCGAGUAGGAUUUUGUUGUUUUGAUUGCAUGAUUGUUUCAGUUUGAUAAGUAUGUGCUAGAGACAACAUCAAUAAGAUGUGUCUUGCAUUUGGAGCAGAGAGUGAUGAUGUUUCUGAUCACGUCCUCUUGGUGAUUGUUUGAGGAUGUUAAAAGUUAGUGGAAAAUAUUGUUCCUUGUAGUUUCUCAGAAAUGAGUGAGCUAUCAGUGAAAAUGCAGUUUGCUGUACACAAAAUUUCUAAAAUGGAUAUUAAAUAUCUUUGAAAAAUGAACUGAUGAUCCCCCUUUUUAAUCCUGUCAUAUAUCAUUUGUCAUGGCAAUACCCACAGAAAACACAGUUGCUCCUUUUACAUCAAAUAAAGAACCAUGAAGAACUCAGAAUUGUUAUUUUAAAAUAAAUAAAUAAAUAAAUAAUUUUGUGGAUUGUGUUACUUUUGGAGUACUAAGAAUCCAGUUUAAUCUUAUUUUUUUUCCAUCCUUAGCUA